GGCCAUAAAACUCCCCAUCAUUCCUCACACAUCAAAUCAUAAAUCAAAAUCAUUGUUCCAAAACAGUACUUCUGCGAUUGUAGUUUCAGAUCUAGGGUUUCCAACAUCUUCUUGAGGUAAAAGAUUGUCGGCGGGAGAGAAUUGUAUUCUACAUUAAUCCAGGUUAACUAUAGCUGGGGUAAUAAAAGGGAGGUGACAGAAGAGAGUGAGCACACAUGGAGUUUUCUUGCAUUGAUAUAUAUAUAUAUGCUUGAAGCUAUGCGUGCUCGCUGCUCUAUCUGUCACCCCACCACUGUCUCUCUCUAUAUAUUUCUUUAUGUUUUAUAUAUGUGCGCAUCUGUGUUUAUGAACAUAUGGUAUUAUUGGUAUGGUAUUCAGGAGCAGAACUAUAGGCUGAAAGGUUUUAUCUUAAUCCCCUUCGCCCAAAAAUUAAAGGUGACAGAAGAGAGUGAACACACAUGGUGUUUUCUGGCAUAUGAUAUACUUGAAGCUAUGUGUACUCACUGCUCUAUCUGUCACCCCCACCACUCUCUCUCUCUUCUUCUCUCUCUAGAUUUCUUUAUGUUUUAUAUGUAUUUUCAUUUGCAUUUAUUUAUGAAAAAUGCUUUGUCUGUUGGUUUAUCCGCUCUUUGGUGAUUUCUUGCCUUUACAGUACAAGUUAGUUUUCUACUUCAAGAAUUGGAAUUUAUUGUAGUCCUUUGAUUGAUUUUCUACUAUGCGAUUUUCUAUUUUUUUUUUUAACACAAAUAUGAAUUUAUCACUAUAUAAGAUGAAAAGUUGAGUACUUGGUGUUUUAAUUUGUUUUUAAAUAUCUUGAUCAGUGACCAAUAGUAUUCAAGAUUAGUUAUUCACACAUGCAGUGACUUCCAUAAUGGCAAAGAAGACCUCAUCAAUCCAAAGGAAAGUUGAAGUGGAACUUUGUUGAUGUUAUUUUAGUGGUUAAAUUUGACUUGUCCUGGCUAAAAACUACGAUGUUAUUUCUACUACUGUUCUUUUGCUAUUAAACAGGAACAAUAAGAAGGGAAAUCAUGGCUUACGACAUCCAACAUUAAUGAGCAAUGCUUUAAAAAAGUCAUCUUGGUACUCCAUCGGAAAUGGAAAACUCAUUGGUCAAUUCGGUUGUUGCAUGUUUGCAAUAGUAGAAUUCUAGAUUCAAUCAUUUUCAAGAUCCCCUCUUUGAUUGAUACAAGUCUUAAAGUGGGAUACAACUCAAUCGGGUUUCUUUAUUUCCUCUAGGGGCUAGGUACGGCUGCAUUCAAUAGGUUUAUCUUAAAUCUUAUACUAGUUUUUUGGAUACGCUCGAUACACACGUGUAUCUCUAAAUUAGUAUUAAUCGGUGAAAGAAA
RNAcentral lists this long non-coding RNA (1346 nucleotides) under Nicotiana tabacum (common tobacco). Its description in RNAcentral is "long non-coding RNA (NTAB_LNC004673)". The stretch from base 193 to 285 matches the Rfam family "mir-156 microRNA precursor family". Lineage: Eukaryota; Viridiplantae; Streptophyta; Magnoliopsida; Solanales; Solanaceae. The record is from RNAcentral.